CCCAGACUCCUACGGGAGGCAGCAGUGGGGAAUAUUGCACAAUGGGGGGAACCCUGAUGCAGCAAUGCCGCGUGGGUGAAGAAGCACUCCGGUGCGUAAAGCCCUGUCAGCAGGGAAGAAAAUGACAGUACCUGGACAAGAAGCCCCGGCUAACUACGUGCCAGCAGCCGCGGUAAUACGUAGGGGGCAAGCGUUAUCUGGAUUUACUGGGUGUAAAGGGAGCGCAGGCGGCGUGGCAAGUCAGAUGUGAAAACCCGGGGCCCAACCCCGGGAGUGCAUUUGAAACUGCCAUGCUGGAGUGCCGGAGAGGUAAGCGGAAUUCCUAGUGUAGCGGUGAAAUGCAUAGAUAUCACGCAGAACUCCGAUUGCGAAGGCAGCGCACCGGCGCCCUACUGACGCUCAGGCACGAAAGCGUGGGUAUCGAACAGGAUUAGAUACCCUAGUAC
RNAcentral lists this ribosomal RNA (446 nucleotides) under uncultured bacterium. RNAcentral describes it as "bacterial SSU rRNA". It matches the Rfam family "Bacterial small subunit ribosomal RNA", at positions 330 to 793 of the family's 1533-position model. The record is from RNAcentral.